AAGGAGCGCUCCUGAACCAAUACAUCCGUCGUCACCCUUUCAGCAACUACCGGUAGGACUGUGUUUUCCCUUCCCUUUCAUCAUACAGAUCACUGGACUUAAUCUCGUCACCUCUCAUUUCAUCUGAUGAUGCCAAGUCAUAGACACCCCACAAGAAGCUUAAACUGAGACAAACUGAUGGAUAAUAUGAAACGGGAAAGAAUUAAUCGGCAAAAGUACAGAGCAGCAGAGAGCGGAAGUUCAGAACAGCAGUGAGCAGAAGCACAGAGCAGCACUGUCUCCUACAUGGACGUAACUUUUCACAAACACCAGAGUGAAAAAAAAAUAGCUGAAAACAACUCCGCACUAAAUAAGCAGCGGAAGCAAACAAUGGCCAAAUAUGAGAUGAACUGCGUAGUCAAUGAAUUCCAGGCUCUCGACAUCCAGAUCCAGAAACUCCUGUACCAACGGAGACACCUGAGCGAUUUGAAAGCUUGUCUGCUGGAAAAAUUCUCCCAAUCAUCUGAAAUCAUUGCAGCAAAUCAUGGUUCAGUAACAUCGACUCCACGCUGUGCCACUCACUUUCAAGGCCAAGUGAGCUUUACCCCAACGCCUCGUUGUCGGAGCUAUGCAGUCUGGGGUUAAAAGCAAGAACGCCUCCAUCGGCACAGGCAAGCAUUUCCACCCAGAUCCAGUUUGCCUUCAACCCUGGCUGAUGUAUUUGUGAUUGGAGAUUCAAUCAUAUGAAGCCUAAAUAUCUCUUGCCCUAAUUAGAAAUCUUUUGUCUCUUGUUUUCCAAGUGCUCGUGUCCGAGAUGUUCUGAGAUGAGCACCGACAGUCUUUGAGAGGCACAAGAACAGGGCAGUGGGAUCCAUUGUGAUACACUCUGGGGUAAACGGUGUGAGACACAGAUAGUUGGAGAUUCUCAAGGCGGACUUCUCAACACUAAUUAAAGCCACUUAGGAGAGGACCCCAGCUGCAAGAAUCUUCAUCUUGGGUCCCUCACCUCUAGUUAGAAGAUUGAACGAGUAUUACAGUCAUCUACUGGCAUUAAACAUCUGGCUGAAAGGCUUCUGCGAGAGUCAAAACAUUGGGUUUGUAGACAACUGGGACCUCUUCUGGGAAAAGCUGCAUUUCUUCAAGCAGGAUGGUCUGCAUCCAAAUAGAUUUUGCGCUCGGGUCCUCUCCGAAAACCACACAUAAGUAAUUUUUGUCUCUUGACUGUUAAUUUUUAUUCCUAACCUUUUCCAAAAUGCUUUGCUAGGAUGGAAUAAUUCAGUGACAAAAUCUUCCUCCAAAGUGCACUACAGUAAUACUGUAAGAACUAACCUCAAUGCAUGUAAAAAAACUAGGCAGGGCGUCAUAAAUACGAAUAACUUGAUUACUAUUAUAACUCUAGAUGAACAAUGUAUGAAAACUAUAAACACAAA
Molecule: long non-coding RNA, 1409 nt
Organism: Polypterus senegalus (gray bichir)
Lineage: Eukaryota; Metazoa; Chordata; Cladistia; Polypteriformes; Polypteridae
Exons: 4
Source: RefSeq, a predicted model, not a curated record